Molecule: ribosomal RNA, 980 nt
Filed under: Aquifex sp. Aq-365-85-NO3
Lineage: Bacteria; Pseudomonadati; Aquificota; Aquificia; Aquificales; Aquificaceae
Description: bacterial SSU rRNA
Rfam family: Bacterial small subunit ribosomal RNA
Source: RNAcentral
AAGUCGUGCGCAGGCUCGCUCCCUUUUGGGAGCGGGUGCUGAGCGGCAAACGGGUGAGUAACACGUGGGUAACCUACCCCCAGGAGGGGGAUAACCCCGGGAAACCGGGGCUAAUACCCCAUAAUGCCACCCGCCACUAAGGCGUGGUGGCCAAAGGGGGCCUCUGGCCUUUGGCCAUGCUCCCGCCUGGGGAUGGGCCCGCGGCCCAUCAGGUAGUUGGUGGGGUAACGGCCCACCAAGCCUAUGACGGGUAGCCGGCCUGAGAGGGUGGCCGGCCACAGCGGGACUGAGACACGGCCCGCACCCCUACGGGGGGCAGCAGUGGGGAAUCGUGGGCAAUGGGCGAAAGCCUGACCCCGCGACGCCGCGUGGGGGAAGAAGCCCUGCGGGGUGUAAACCCCUGUCGGGGGGGACGAAGCGGCUAUGGGUUAAUAGCCCAUAGUCGUGACGGUACCCCCAGAGGAAGGAACGGCUAACUACGUGCCAGCAGCCGCGGUAAUACGUAGGUCCCGAGCGUUGCGCGAAGUCACUGGGCGUAAAGCGUCCGCAGCCGGUCGGGUAAGCGGGAUGUCAAAGCCCACGGCUCAACCGUGGAAUGGCAUCCCGAACUGCCCGACUUGAGGCACGCCCGGGCAGGCGGAAUUCCCGGGGUAGCGGUGAAAUGCGUAGAUCUCGGGAGGAACACCGGAAGGGGAAGCCAGCCUGCUGGGGCUGUCCUGACGGUCAGGGACGAAAGCCGGGGGAGCAAACCGGAUUAGAUACCCGGGUAGUCCCGGCCGUAAACCAUGGGCGCUAGGGCUUGUCCCUUUGGGGCAGGCUCGCAGCUAACGCGUUAAGCGCCCCGCCUGGGGAGUACGGGCGCAAGCCUGAAACUCAAAGGAAUUGGGCGGGGGCCCGCACAACCGGUGGAGCGUCUGGUUCAAUUCGAUGCUAACCGAAGAACCUUACCCGGGCUUGACAUGCUGGGGGAGACUCCGCGA